This 292-nucleotide ribosomal RNA is filed under the name uncultured bacterium. RNAcentral describes it as "partial 16S ribosomal RNA". It matches the Rfam family "Bacterial small subunit ribosomal RNA", at positions 505 to 796 of the family's 1533-position model. The record is from RNAcentral.
GUGUCAGCAGCCGCGGUAAUACGUAGGUGACAAGCGUUAUCCGGAAUUACUGGGCGUAAAGCGCACGCAGGUGGUUGAACAAGUCUGACGUGAAAUAUCCCGGCUUAACUGGGAGGGGUCGUUGGAAACUGUUUGGCUUGAGGCAACGAGAGGGGUGUAGAAUUCCCGGUGUAGUGGUGGAAUGCGUAGAUAUCGGGAGGAAUACCAGUGGCGAAAGCGGCACCCUGGCGUUAGCCUGACGCUCAUGUGCGAAGGCGUGGGGAGCGAACGGGAUUAGAAACCCGAGUAGUCC